Molecule: non-coding RNA, 135 nt
Organism: Triticum aestivum (bread wheat)
Lineage: Eukaryota; Viridiplantae; Streptophyta; Magnoliopsida; Poales; Poaceae
Source: Rfam
AGUAUACUCCCUCCGUCCAAAAAUUCUUGUCUUAUAUUUGUCUAAAUACGAAUGUAUCAAGUCACGUUUUAGUAUUAGAUACAUCCAUAUCUAGAUGAAUCUAAGACAAGAAUUUUGGAACGGAGGUAGUACAUC